This 420-nucleotide ribosomal RNA is filed under the name uncultured bacterium. RNAcentral's name for it is "bacterial SSU rRNA". It matches the Rfam family "Bacterial small subunit ribosomal RNA", at positions 355 to 774 of the family's 1533-position model. The record is from RNAcentral.
UAAGGAAUAUUGCUCAAUGGGAGAAAUCCUGAAGCAGCAACGCCGCGUGGAGGAUGAAGGGUCUAUGACUUGUAAACUCCUGUAAAGAAGGAAAAAAUUCCCAUUUGAUGGGAGAUGAUGGUACUUCUGGAGUAAGCCCCGGCUAACUACGUGCCAGCAGCCGCGGUAAUACGUAGGGGGCAAGCGUUGUCCGGAUUUACUGGGUGUAAAGGGUGCUCAGGCGGAUUUGUAAGUCAGAGGUGAAAUCUUACCGCUUAACUGUGAAACUGCCUUUGAUACUGCAAGCCUAGAGUAUGGAAGAGAGUGAUGGAAUAUCUGGUGUAGCAGUGAAAUGCGUAGAUAUCAGAUAGAACACCUAUGGCGAAGGCAGUCACUUGGUCCAUUACUGACGCUAAAGCACGAAAGCGUGGGUAGCAAACA